AAACAGUUCUCAUUUUGUGUGCUCGGCUGACUGCACGUCCAGCCUCGGGCCAGCUCGAGACGGCCACAUUGCCUGGUUGAAGAUGGCUGAGCGUAAAACAGAAUGCAAGUCAGCUGGAGCACGUACUACUGGAGGCAGAGCCCCAUGAGAAGGGGCCAAGAACCCGCACCCAUCAAAAUCAAGAAGAAAGGCUGAACCCGGAGAGAAAAGGGAGCAACUGAUGUUGCCAUGCAGAUCCCUUGGUUGCUAUGAGAUGGUAACAUCACUCUGCCCCACCAUUGGCCAGUGCCUCCUCAGCUGCGGUGCCUCCCAGGCUGUGUGGUUCUCACGCGGGCCACUGACACAGAGCUGUUACUAUGGUGAACUUUACAAUUUCCUUUGAUUGGUGGAUUUCAGAAAUAGGCCAUCAGCGGAAUUCAUUAUAUUCAGCUAAGUAAAAAUGAAAAAUAAAUACUAUAACUUUCCCCUCAUCACUAACAUGAAGGAAACGUGACCCUUCAUGACAUAAUAAAUCGCUGUUCGGUAACUUAGGAUCCUUCAGGGGACUGAAGCGGGAUGAUCCUCCUAUGCCAAAUUUGGGUGGGAAAGAUAUUCCCUGUAGCUUUGAGUCGACUCUUCAGAGUUAAGGGCAGUGGGCCAACCAGAGUUGGAACUUCAGAGUUGGGAGGAGGUGUGGGAUGGGGCAUGCAUUGAAAUGUAAACUCUAUUGUCUCUGAAGUGAUGGGUGAUGCUGGGGGCCUGAGUGUGGAGGGCAGUUUUACAUCUCAGGACAAUGUUUUCUCAGAUGCUCUUCCAGAAAGAAAAGCCAGGAGUACUCCUGGCUGGAGGCGGCAUGCCUGAGGUCAGAGUCAAAGUAGGGUUUGUGCUGUCUGAAUCCUUUCUCCCACUCUCCCCAGCCUGGCUCAGCUUCUCAGCUUCUCAGGUGGAUUGGCCUCUGAGCCCAAGCCAAGCCAUCGCAUCCCCUGUGACUUGCCCGUAUAUAUGCCCAGAUGGCCUGAAGUAACUGAAGAAUCACAAAAGAAGUGAAUAUGCCUUGCCCCACCUUGACUGAUGACAUUCCACCACAAAAGAAGUGUAAAUGGCCGGUCCUUGCCUUAACUGAUGACAUUACCUUGUGAAAGUCCUUUUCCUGGCUCAUCCUGGCUCAAAAAGCACCCCCACUGAGCAUCUUGCGACUCCCACUCCUGCCCACUGAGCACCUUGUGACCCCCACUCCUGCCUGCCAGAGAACAAACCCCCUUUGACUGUAAUUUUCCUUUACCUACCCAAAUCCUAUAAAACGGCUCCACCCUUAUCUCCUUUUGCUGACUCUCUUUUCUGACUCAGCCCGCCUGCACCCAGGAGAUUAAAAGCUUUAUUGCUCACACAAAGCCUGUUUGGUGGUCUCUUCACAUGGAUAUGCAUGAAAUUUGGUGCCGUGACUCGGAUCGGGGGACCUCCCUUGGGAGAUCAAUCCCCUGUCCUCCUGCUCUUUGCUCCGUGAGAAAGAUCCACCUACGACCUCAGGUCCUCAGACCGACCAGCCCAAGAAACAUCUCACCAAUUUCAAAUCCAAUCUUCUCGGCUUAGCGGCUGAAGACUGACACUGCCCGAUCACCUCGGAAGACCCCUAGACCAUCACGGACGCCGAGCUUCGGGUAACUUUCACAGUGGAAGGUAAGCCCGUCCCCUUCUUAAUCAAUACAGAGGCUACUCACUCCACAUUACCCUCUUUUCAAGGGCCUCUUUCCCUUGCCUCCAUAACUGUUGUGGGUAUUGAUGGCCAGGCUUCUAAACCUCUUAAAACUCCCCAACUCUGGUGCCAACUUAGACAAUACUCUUUUAAGCACUCCUUUUUAGUUAUCCCCACCUGCCCAGUUCCCUUAUUAGGCUGAGACACUUUAACUAAAUUAUCUGCUUCCCUGACUAUUCCUGGACUACAGCUAUAUCUCACUGCCGCCCUUCUUCCCAAUCCAAAGCCUCCUUUGCGUCCUCCUCUUCUAUCCCCCCACCUUAACCCACAAGUAUAAGAUACCUCUACUCCCUCCUUGGCGACCAAUCAUGCACCCCUUACUAUCUCAUUAAAACCUAAUCACCCUUACCCCACUCAACGCCAAUAUCCCAUCCCGCAGCACACUUUAAAAAGAUUAAAGCCUGUUAUCACUCGCCUGCUACAGCAUGGCCUUUUAAACCCUAUAAACUCUCCUUACAAUUCCCCCAUUUUACCUGUCCUAAAACCAGACAAGCCUUACAAGUUAGUUCAGGAUCUGCGCCUUAUCAACCAAAUUGUUUUGCCUAUCCACCCUGUGGUGCCAAACCCAUAUACUCUCCUAUCCUCAAUACCUGCCUCUACAACCCAUUAUUCUGUUCAGAUCUCAAACCUGCUUUCUUUACUAUUGCUUUGCACCCUUAAUCCCAGCCUCUCUUCGCUUUCACUUGGACUGACCCUGACACCCAUCAAGCUCAGCAAAUUACCUAGGCUGUACUGCCGCAAAGCUUCACAGACAGCCCCCAUUACUUCAAUCAAGCCCAGAUUUCCUCCUCAUCUGUUACCUAUCUCGGCAUAAUUCUCAUAAAAACACACGUGCUCUCCCUGCCAAUCGUGUCCAACUGAUCUCUCAAACCCAAGCACCUUCUACAAAACAACAACUCCUUUCCUUCCUAGGCAUGCCUUUCUGUCCAAACAACUUGACCUUACUGUUUUAGCCUAGCCCUCAAGUCUGUGUGCAGUGGCUGCCGCUGCUUUAAUACUUUUAGAGGCCCUCAAAAUAAGUAGAGGCCUUUCCUACAGGGUCUGAGAAGGUCACCGCAGUCAUUUCUUCCGUUCUGUCAGACAUAAUUCCUCAGUUUAGCCUUCCCACCUCAGUACAGUCUGAUAACAGACGAGCCUUUAUUAGUCAAAUCAGCCAAGCAGUUUUUCAGGCUCUUAGUAUUCAGUGAAACCUUUAUAUCCCUUAUGGUCCUCCAUCUUCAAGAAAGGUAGAAUGGACUAAAGGUCUUUUAAAAACACACCUCACCAAGCUCAGCCACCAACUUUAAAAGGACUGGAUAAUACUUUUACCACUUUCCCUUCUCAGAAUUCAGGCCUGUCCUCGGAAUGCUACAAGGCACAGCCCAUUUAAGCUCCUGUAUAGACGCUCCUUUUUAUUAGGCCCCAGUCUCAUUCCAGACACCAGACCAACUUAGACUGUGCCUCAAAACAAACAAACAAACAAACAAACUUGUCAUCCCUACUAUUUUCUGUCUAGUUCAUACUCGUAUUCACCGUUCUCAACUACUCAUACAUGCCCUGCUCUUGUCUACACUGCCAGUUUACACUAUUUCUCCAAGCCAUCACAGCUGAUAUCUCCUGGUGCUAUCCCCAAACUGCCACUCUUAACUCUUGAAGUAAAUAAAUAAUCUUUCCUGGCAGGACUAUGGUGAAUCUCCUUAAGCACUCUCUAAUCAGACAUCCUGAGUCGUCCCAAUUCUUAGACCUUUUAUACCUGUUUUUCUCCUUCUGUUAUUCCAUUUAGUUUUUCAAUUCAUACAAAACCGUAUCCAGGCCAUCACCAAUCAUUCUAUAUGACAAAUGUUUCUUCUAACAACCCCACAAUAUCACCCCUUACCACAAGACCUCCCUUCAGCUUAAUCUCUCCCGCUCUAGGUUCCCACGCCGCCCCUAAUCCCGCUUGAAGCAGCCCUGAGAAACAUCGCCCAUUCUCUCUCCAUACCACCCCCCAAAAAUUUCACCGCCCCAACACUUCAACACUAUUUUGUUUUAUUUUUCUUAUUAAUAUAAGAAGGCAGGAAUGUCAGGCCUCUGAGCCCAAGCCAAGCCAUCGCAUCCCCUGUGACUUGCACGUAUACACCCAGAUGGCCUGAAGUAACUGAAGAAUCACAAAAGAAGUGAAUAUGCCUUGCCCCACCUUGACUGAUGACAUUCCACCACAAAAGAAGUGUAAAUGGCCGGUCCUUGCCUUAACUGAUGACAUUACCUUGUGAAAGUCCUUUUCCUGGCUCAUCCUGGCUCAAAAAGCACCCCCACUGAGCACCUUGCGACCCCCCACUCCUGCCCGCCAGAGAACAAACCCCCUUUGACUGUAAUUUUCCUUUACCUCCCCAAAUCCUAUAAAACGGCCCCACCCUUAUCUCCCUUUGCUGACUCUCUUUUCGGACUCAGCCCGCCUGCACCCAGGUGAUUAAAAGCUUUAUUGCUCACACAAAGCCUGUUUGGUGGUCUCUUCACACGGACACGCAUGAAAUUUCACAGUCAUGAAUAGUGAUUUUUUGGUUUCUGUUUUUGUGAUUAACUUCUGCAAAUUUGUCAAUGACUUUGUCAGAGUUAUUUUUCUUCCCAUAUUCAUGAAGUUUCUAUCUAUCUUUGAUCAAGGAAC
This 4355-nucleotide long non-coding RNA is filed under the name Homo sapiens (human). RNAcentral's name for it is "HSALNT0302925". Lineage: Eukaryota; Metazoa; Chordata; Mammalia; Primates; Hominidae. The record is from RNAcentral.